Molecule: non-coding RNA, 45 nt
Filed under: Schistosoma mansoni
Lineage: Eukaryota; Metazoa; Platyhelminthes; Trematoda; Strigeidida; Schistosomatidae
Source: RNAcentral
AUUCAGCUGACGAGUUCCAAAUAGGACGAAAUGCAGCCCCUGGAU